RNAcentral lists this long non-coding RNA (6415 nucleotides) under Sus scrofa (pig). RNAcentral describes it as "lncRNA (ENSSSCG00005000061.1)". Lineage: Eukaryota; Metazoa; Chordata; Mammalia; Artiodactyla; Suidae. The record is from RNAcentral.
UUUUUUUUUUUUUUUUUAAAUUUGACACCGAAACCAAAAAUUAGUAAGUGGGACUACAUCAACACAAAAAGCAUUCUCCACAGCAAAGGAAACCAUCAACAAAACAAAAAGACAACCACUGAAUGGGAAAAAAUAUUUGCAAAUAAGACAUCUGAUAAGGGGUUAAUAUCCAAAAUUAAGCAUUCAUCCAACUCAGCAGCAAACAAACAAUCCAAAUAUAAAAUGGACAGAGGAACUGAAUAGACAUUUUUCCUGAGGAGAUAUACAAAGAUUCAACCGGUACCUGAAAAGGUGCUUGAUACCACUAAUCAUCAGGGAAAUAAAAAUCAAAACCAUGAGAUAUCAUCUCAUACCUGUUUAACUGGCUGUUACCAAAAGACAAGAAAUAAGUUUUCACAAAAGUGUGGAGAAAAGGGAACCCGUGUGCACUGUUGGGUGGGACUAUAAAUUGGUGCAGCCACUAUGGAGGUUCCUCAAAAAAAUUAAAAAUAGAAACUACCAUAGGACUCAACAGUUUCACUUCUAGGUAUUUAUCUGGAGAAAAGGAAAAACAACUAAGUGAAAAAGGUAUCUGCAUUCCCAUGUUCACUGAAGCAUUAUUUACAACAGUCAAGGGGUAGAAACAAGCCAAGUGUCCACCGAUGGAUGACUGGAUAAAGAAAAUGGGUCUAUUUAUACAAGGUAAUAUUACCCCCUAUUUAAAAAAUACUGCCGUUUGCAACAACAGGAUAGACCUUGAAUGCAUCAUGCUAAGUAAAGUAAGAAAGACAGAUACCAGAGGCUCUCACUUCUAUGUGAAAUCUAAAACAGCAAAAACCAGAAAGACUCCCACACGACUGAGUGCAUAGACAGAGAACAGGCUGAGGUAGGGAGAGAGCAAAGUGGGUGAAGGGAGGCCCAAAGGUACCACCUUUCAGUAAUAAACAGGUUGCAGGGACGUAAUGUAAAGCAUUUUAACUAUAGUUAACAAUAAUGCAUUGCGUAUUUGGAAGUUGCUAAGAAGGAUCUUAAAAGUUCUUCUUAGGAGGAAAAAGUUUUUUUUGUACCCCUGUGGUGAUGGAUAUUGAAUCAUUAUGUUGUAAACCUGCAACUAAUAUAAUGUGGGGUGUCAGUUAUACCUCAAUUUUUAAAAAAUGUUGUCGUCCUAGUCUUGAUGAUUCUCCACCUUCUUGUUGUGUCAGCUUCAUCUUGGGGAGAAGUGCGUGGUCUCAAAGGUUGAGUUUGAUGGGUUCUCUAUCAUUACUCUCAAUUCCUGGGCUGAAAGUCAGAAGACUUCAUGAACAGUUAAGUCAAUAGGAGAAACAUCCUGGAAGGUCCCUUGCCCACCCCACAGGCUACUGCAGUUGCCGCUCCACUUUUGCUUAUAAAAUACUAUAAGGGAGGAAGAAGUGGGGUUUAUAACUCAGACUACUUUGAUAACCUAGAUAAAUCCCCACCCAAAUAUCCACGAGAGGUAUGCUAGGAUCUGAGCUGUCUGGGAGAAAGGGGGAUGGGGAAACAAAACCAACUGUUUUUAAAACCAUGUCUGGAGUUCCCGUUGUGGCGCAGCGGAAAUGAAUCUGACCAGGAACUAUGAGGUUGCGGCUUCGAUCCCUGCCCUCGCUCAGUGGGUUAAGGAUCUGGCGUUGCCGUGAGCUGUGGUGUAGGUCACAGAUGUGGCUCAGAUCCCGCGUUGCUGUGUCUGUAGCCUAGGCGGGGGGCAAGAGCUCUGAUUAGACCCCUAGCCUAGGAACUUCCAUAUGCUGCGGGCAUGGCCCUGAAAAAGACAAAAAGUCAAACAAACAAACCACCAACCGCCCCCCCCAAGUCUGAUGGGAAAUCCCAUGGUGGCUCAGUGGGAUAAAAUCCCGAUGGGUAUCCAUGAGGAUGCAGGUUCAAUCCCUGGCCUUGCUCAGUGGGUUAAAGAUCUGGUGUCACCACAAGCUUAGGUGUAAGUUCCCUAUCCUGGGAAUUUUGAUAUGCGGAAAAUAUGGCCCUAAAAAUAAAAAAUAAAAACCAAAUCUGGGAUUUGAAGCCUUGCUGAGCUGAGGCAUUUAAUCCUGUGCUCCCAUCGUGACUGACUUCUUUCCUGUACACAACUGAGUUUUCAGUGCCUCGGUCUGAAUUUUAGCUUCUGUUGAGACAUAUGCUAGAAGCACUAGUUUGGAAGCUUUUAAACGACCAUUCAAAGCUACAUCUCUAGCAGCCAGUACAGAGCCUGGCACGUAACAGGAGCACAGCAGAUAUUGCUGAAUGAAUCAAGAACAAGUCACAUUUAGGGCCUUUACCUUUAAAAAUAUAUAUUUAACUUUAAAAUCUGAUUUGUCUAGCUUGCUAAAAAUCUUAACAUAGGGAUUCAACUCUUUUUCUGUAUAAUUACCUCCACUCUGUUACUAGGCUCUUGUUCUGCUGUGUACCUCCCAUUGUAAGCAUUUGGGAUAUAAAGUACAAAUAAAUACAGUGGGUGCCACUUCAUUAUAGUCAAAGGACAAACCUUUCGGGUCACCACAGAGCAGAAAAACAUCAUGUAUUACUCAAGUCAAACUUCUGGGUGAUUUAUAGAUGAUAAUACUAAAAUCCUUAAUGUACAAAACAUUUAUAAAUUUUAGAUAACAAUCAGUAAAAUGGCAACAAAGCAAAUACAUAUGCUGCCAGAGGAUGUAAAAGGUGGAUGCCGAGCCCACUCUGUGAACUUGAACUCAUCACGGCUGUGUCCACGCCAUUUCCCAGACAUUCCUUUCUGUUUGGUUUGUGCUGUGGAGAGACACAGACUUCUGGAUGAUAGAAACAUCAUAUCCAGUCAUUUUCCACCCACGCAUUUAGCUAGACUUUAAUCUGCUGCAUUUACAGAGUUGGGAAUUAUAAUUAUGACUCAGUCACGGCUUCUUGGAAAAAUGUAACUGAUUUCUGCUCUCAUCUUGAGGGUUUUACUGCUCAAUGUCAAGGCAGCAAAUGAGGCCCCUGUCACAGCUCUGCCCUCUAGAGCCUGGACCGUCAGAGGCCACAUUACCCACCAGAAGCCACCCUCAAGCUAACGAUGUGUGCCAUGGCAGGAGAAAACAAGCAGCUUCUCUCCUCUCCCUGGGGACAGAGAGGGGGUCCCGAGCCCUCCAAGUCUCUGCAAGCAUGAGAAAAAGGCAUCAUUAAGGAAGGCCUGAGAAUCUUCUGAAACUUCUCAUUUUAUGGCUUGUAUGCUGUCACUCUUCAAAGAGCCAACCGAAUUUUUCCAAAACAAUUCAUUAUAAACUCAACGUUCUUUAAAAACUUUGAUGCUGUGACAGUGCAAACAGCAUUCAUUUUAUUGCUCAACUUCGGCAUGGGCACAUACAUAGUUAAUUUUUAAAAACCAUUUAUACAGAUGUUAUUGAUAAAGCUCAUGUAACAACUGAGUGAAAAUACAAAGAAUAUCAAAGCUAAAACACUCUGUAAUAAAUACAAAUACAAUGAAAAUGAUAAAACUUUGCUUUUAAAGUCAGUUUGAGAGAAGGAAGAAUAUUACAUUAAGUGAACUAAUUACAUCUAGAAACAAAACAACUCAGCAUUUGGUACAAUCAUCACCCUAACAUAAGUACAUUAAAUACCACAAAUGGCACCCACUGACUGUGUGCUGCAGCUUAAAGACAAGCAGAAGGAGCUGCUCUAUCAAACUGUAAGGGCAUCUGGAACAAUCCCUAACUCCCAUCAAUGCAAUCAGCUCAAUGCCCCGGAAGUUCAAGCAGACUUAGUGUUGUAAGAUAAAGCAAAUUACAUUGUAUUUAAAAGAAAGGAAACUUGUGCUCUGGACUGUAAUUACAAGAGAAAAAUAAAAGACUUGGUAAAAAUAAAACCCGUUCAGGGCAACAAACUAUGUGCAAAACAAAAUGUACACUAUACACAGCACUAUUUAAAAAAUCUUUACACCAAGAAAUAAGACCCUCUGAAACAAAACUCACCUCUGUAACUGCAUAUGAGCUCUACAAAGUAACCACUGUUCACAAUUAAGCAUUCAUGAUGUGAAGGCAAUGUAUGGAAAAGUGACAUCACAUAUCUGAAAUAACACAACUAGAGGAAGGAUUAGAAAAAACCCAGCUAAGAGGGACAUGUGGAAAUAAAUAUUCACAUUAAACAUGAGGUGCAAGUCCAAGUUUGAAUGAGGGGGGCUGGGGGUGGCGGGGGUUGUUUGCUUAGCACCUAUGUGGAAGUAAUCAGUAAUUUUGAAAAUGAAAUCUAAAUCAUGUUUUUAUAAAUUAUGUUGGCGAUACCACAGACGGCAAAGGAGGGUAUUUUCUUUUAAAGCUCUAUGAAGUCAUUAUUAUGAAGUUAAAAAGGCACUCAAAAAGCGAUGGUAUCUGCCUGCUCUAUGUAGCGCGUUAUGAGGAGGAGCGUUUCACUAUUUCUGCAUCCAUCAGCUACGAUUCCUCCAAAGUUCAUCAUGUACUUACUUUUACUGAUAGAUUACAAGAGGCACAAUUACACUGCGCUAGUGCUUUAAUUAAUAUAAAAGAGGGAUGGUACUACAGGUACUCCUGUGAAGGCUGAGAACCAUAUCCAAGUAUAAAAACCUUGUCUGUGUAUUUCAAGAGGUUCUUCGGUAUUACUAAGAACGCAGGAGGAAAACAAAACGGGAAGAAAAAGGUCAGCAUAAGCACGUCGAUCGCCACUACACAGUUUUGACUAUAACCAGCUUGCGUGUAGCUGUCAAAUUUGGCUGAAGAAACAAAUUUAAAUACUUAGAAACGAUACAAGCAGUUCUCGACCUUUUUUUAAGCAGCAAAUUUUCCACCUCUUUUAUUCCCCCCCACCCCCUUUAUGAAACCUUACAUGGAAUUCCAAUAUUUAUCAAAGAGAAAAAUCAGAGCUGCUCUGGGUCAAGGGGGGUGGGGAGUUAGAGGCCCUGCUCAAAUACCAGCUGGGCCUUUCCGCUCCCUCUCUCUCUGUCCCUUCUCUCUUAACCAUCACUCCUGAGGCACCUUGGAGCAACCCCUUGGCCCCCACAACACAGACUGAAAACCAAUCCAUCAAAUGCAAGAACACAAAGGGCUUAUUCACUUGAUAAUUAAGCUGUAAAAUUUAAAGCUCUCUCACUGAAAUUUGCUAUUCCUGAUUUCACAUCAAUGUAAAAAAAAAAAUAACAGUACAGAUUUCUGAUAGCUGAAUUUAAAAAUCCACCCAUGAUUUCAGGUUCUUCUAACCUCUCACUUCAGAAGUCUGGUUGCCUUCUGGACCACGCAACAUGCCACACACCUUGCAAGCUCAAUGUGGAUAUUUUAAAAAUCCAAUGCCAAUCUUCAACACCAAGGGAACUGGGAUUCCCUAACCUCCAAAAAUUACUCUUCGGACUCAAAGUAAUGUACACAAUAAAGUUAGAAUCACUUCUCUUUUUAGUAAUCACAUCCCCUGCCCCACCAUCUCCACUGCAGUUUGUUAGGUAAAAGCAGGGUUUUCUAAGCUUGCUAAAUAAUCUUUUGAGCAAAAGUUUUCCUUUUUCGUAAUUUUAGCUGAUUAAAAUAUGAGCAGCUAAAAAGAGAUUCAGGAUGGUUUACUUGAUAGAAACUUACACCAUAAUUAAAAUGUAAUAUAAAUUAGGUGCAUUUGUCAUAGGAGACUUUGGUUUACAGAAACAGUAUACAUAUUAAAGAUAUAAACCGACCCAGCGAAAGAAUGAAAAUCCCAUCCCAUCCACGUGAUCUGAGUAACUAUAAAAAUGCAGUAUUUCAAGAUGAAAAGCAAAUCCAAAAUACCUGACAAUAUUGAUUGAAGAUAAAAAAAUUAAGAUUUUUUUUAAAGUCUCUUAAAAACAGGGAGUCCCUGAAUACAUCUUAUUGUAGCAAAUAAGCUACUAAGUUUAGACUAAAUGGUUGCAUUAGAAAUUUGACAAACAAAAUUAUAUAGCUGUAUUCCAGGACAUUCAUGCUUGAAAAAUAUAAAAAAGACUCACUUAGGCUAGGUUGAAACAUAUAAUGCUUUUAAAAUAUAAUGCUUUGCUAUAGAAAAAUGUAAUUAAAACAUGUAAAUGGUUUAAUUUUUAAAGAUAAUGAUUCUUUUAUAGCCAAUUGUUUACAAAGGUAGAAUAAUUCAAAAUAAUUUUAUUUCGUUUUAUUUUUUACAAAGAACAAGUACAGGAGCUGUUCAAAAUCAUGUACUCAAUCAAAAUGAAAUGUGACUUGUACCGACUGCUGAAGUUGUCUUGAUGUUUGACAGACUUGAAAUCUGUGAAGCGAUUUGAAUAGAUUAGCUUUUAUAAAAAUAGUAGUAGUCUUUAAGUGUAGAAUACUGCCUAACUCUGGAAAUGUAGGAAAAGUCAGCAUUCUUUAGGUUCAAGAUAUUAAUUUUAAAUAGCAGCUGAAUGUGGCCUCAUGGCAAAGCAUAAAGACCUCUUUUUUUUUUUUUUCCUUGAAAAGGAAUUUCAAAAUUGUCCUUUCCCCUCACAGUGUCCUACAAUUUUUUUAAAGGGGGG